UAACACCCGGUGGGAGAAGCGGGGCAACCCGCUGCCGAAGGCGCAACGCCCGUAAUCGCUCAGGCUCCCGUACCACCGCCGCGAA
RNAcentral lists this non-coding RNA (85 nucleotides) under Oleiagrimonas soli. RNAcentral describes it as "Glycine riboswitch aptamer". It matches the Rfam family "Glycine riboswitch aptamer". From Rfam's summary of the family: This family represents the bacterial glycine riboswitch. The record is from Rfam by way of RNAcentral. RNAcentral also lists the same sequence under 1 other name. Lineage: Bacteria; Pseudomonadati; Pseudomonadota; Gammaproteobacteria; Lysobacterales; Rhodanobacteraceae.